AACUGAUUCUUUUUGGGA
RNAcentral lists this microRNA (18 nucleotides) under Corchorus olitorius. RNAcentral describes it as "oan-miR-13". Lineage: Eukaryota; Viridiplantae; Streptophyta; Magnoliopsida; Malvales; Malvaceae. The record is from RNAcentral.